UUUUAAUUAUUUUCUAAAAUACAAUGAAAAAAUCUAACUGGACACACACAAUAACAAGGCGGGUACGUUUAUUGUCCCACGAAUUGACCCUCCAAGAUAUUGUCAACAUUUAUUGACAAUAAUAAUAAUAAUAAUGAUAAUGAUAAUACAGCUCACUGUUCUAAAUCUACUUGUAUAUUAAAAUAUGAAUCACACGCCUCUGCCCUCUUUUACAUGCAUUAGCGGCGUUUCCAAGACACAGGGGUGUCGUUAACUCCACGUUUUACUUCAGCCCUUCUUCCCAAAGACAGUAACCCAAUGGCCUUGUGUCAAGCUCAUGGCAGCUUUCAAAAAAAAAAAAAAAAAAAAUCCAUUCUCUCUGCACCGCUAAUUAACAGUAAGAAGAGACCCUAUCACACUGCUCGUCUCCACUGAGAAUAACAAUGAAGCCCAGAGGAAUGAAUUAGAAGCCUCCUCACUGCCAGGAGUAAAAAGCAGCACUUUAGCAAACGGUCGAUUUUCGGCCGCCCGUUGAAGGAAACUUUUCACCGCCUGGAGAAAGCAACUAAUGAGUCAUCUGGAGGUUAGCCGACUGUGUCGCUUCGCCGACUGUGUCGCUUCGCCGGAGCCCAGCUUGUGUGGACCUGUUGGACCUCAGACAACCUGCUGCAAGACACACGACUGACUUGUAAAUACUCUAAUAAUCCCGCUGUACAUACAUAGUGUAGGUGUCGGUAAUGUCGUGGUUCAUAAUUGGCAUUUUACUGCAAAACAAGCUAUGUCUUCUUAUUAUUUUAUGAUUAUAAUAAAUGCAUACAGGCCAGAACACAAGAGCCCACAUAUUGCUGUAACUUAAAGUCAAGCAAACUAUUUUUUUAAUUUUAUUGUAUUUGUAUUUUUUUUUUAUUUUUUUAUUUUUUUAUAUUAUUGUUUCAUUCGUGUUUCAUUAUUGUUUAUUAUUAUUUACUAUUAUUUAUUAUUUAUUUUUAUAUUAGUUUUUCAUUCUCGUUUCAUUAGUGUUUCAUUAUUUAUUGUUUUAUUGUUUAUUAUUAUUUAUUAUUGGCUUUAUUUUUUAUUUUUAUAUUAUUGUUUCAUUCGUGUUUCAUUGUUGUUUAUUAUUAUUUAUUAUGUUUUAUUAUUAUUUUUUAUAUUAUUGUUUCAUUAUUGUUUAUUAUUAUUUAUUAUUAUUAUUAUUUGUUAUUAUUUAAUUUGUGUUUCAUUGUUUAUUGUUUUAUUUAUUGUUUUAUUAUUGUUUAUUAUUGGCUUUAUUUUUUAUAUUAUUGUUUAUUAUUAUUUAUUAUUAUUAUUUAUUAUUAUUAUUUAAUUAGUGUUUCAUUAUUGUUUAUUGUUUUAUUUAUUGUUUUAUUAUUGUUUAUUAUGUUCAUGGAAUGAUGCGUUCAAGUGCAGUGCGACAUUUUAUAAACAUGCCGACAUUACUGUAAGUAAAUCUGAAAUCUGAAGCUGAUUGGUUAAAGAACCAGCCCCAUUACCAAUAGUGUCUAAGUGACAUGGCCCAGCACUACUGAUUGUGAAGGCCUUGGUUAGAUUACAUUGACAUGGCAACACGAGAUUGGUAAAAAAAAAAAAAAAAAGAAAAUACUCUAAAAUACUAUAUAGAAGCAGUGACACGGUAGUACAAUUUCCUGGAAGAAAUACAACAAUUGAAUGUGUCGCUGUGUCAGUGCUUGUGAUAGCGGUUAGGCCUGCAGAGAAGGCUAUCAAAGGUGUUUUUGCUUUCUCUGUCCAAGGUGCUGAUUUUGCUCUGCGGCGAGGAUGCAUCAUCAUGCAGCAUGUGUGACCUAAUGAGGGCCUUAAAGAGCUCAUUUAGCCGUGGAAGAUGUGGAAGAUCUUGUCCACGGGGGAAAUGUCAGCUGUGACUGUUUUAAGAGCAGACCGGGCUAUAAUUAUGAUUGUAAGGAAACAGCAUGUUUUAUUCAUGGCAUCGAACCUUCUUUCCACUGUGUAAACUCCGCCGGCAUCACACAGACACCUUAAAAAAAAAUCUUACUUUCAUACAUUUUUAAUUUGAAGCAAAAUAAAAACGGGAAACGGACAAAUGAAAUCGGUAGAAGUUGACAUUGAGCCGAGGAGGCGCGGCGUUCCUGGGGGGGCGCCGCGCUUUGGUCCAACAUGGAAGAUCCACGCAGGAGGUAAUGAAUGAAUGAAUGAAUCAUAGUUAAUACUUGACUGCGGUGACUCUCCAACCUCCGUACUUCAUCUUUCACGUUCUCAGCCCCCCUGCAGGAGGAUCCGAGCGGCGGCGGCAACAUCAAUGCAACCACCUUGGCCGGGUUUGAACCUCGACGCUUGUUGACUCUCUGCGGCCCGAGGCGGGAAUUUAAUCAGCACGCUUCUCUUCCUGUGCGCUCCCCCGCACUAGGGUUGAGGACAUCAUGGCUUCCACUGGAGGGGGUUGUCUUCUUCUCAACAUCAUCACUUUGGCAUGAUUGACACUCCCCUGCAAAUAAUUGAUACCCUGAUAAAAAAAAAGUCUAUUUUUAGCACAUGGCUCACCCCCCCCCCCUCCAAAACCUUCCUGCUAGCUGGAUGUUCAUGUUCUAAUUCGAUUUCAGAUCAACAUUUGCGGUUAGUUUUACUCAGCACUGAUGCUAAUGAACAGAUUGAAUUGGAGUCACAGCACACGGCCGUGGUGCUUUCAAGGACAGCCAAACACAGUGCAAAAUCUCAACGCUCAAUGGGAAAAAAAAAACAAACAAAAAGACAUAUUUAUAAAUUAAAUAACUUUUGUUGUACUUUGUACCAUUAGAUGGAGCCCGCGUACCAUCAAUGGCCCUCAAACCGCCGUUUGAGAAUCGACGCUGUCGUCCAUCCUCGCCAAGAAAUCAAGGCCAAGGUUGAUCGGGUCAUGGGAGGGGGUGCCGGAGCCUAUCCCAGCUGUCUUCGGGCGAGAGGUGGGACUGGUGGCCAGCCAAUUUGUGAAGCCUGUGUACUAACCACUCGUACACCGUGCAGCCCCUAAAAGGUUAAAGGAACACCAUAAUUGGAGCAUUUACGAUCCCUGGUGGACACGCUAGGCGAGCGGAGGCUGGUGACGGAGGAGCUGCUGCUGGAGCUCCGCACCGUCCGCCGGUUGCUUUCAACGGUCUUGGAGAAAGACGAGCGUGCGGCGGAGCUUCC
This is a non-coding RNA of Doryrhamphus excisus (bluestripe pipefish), 3117 nucleotides long. The record is from RefSeq and is a predicted model, not a curated record. Lineage: Eukaryota; Metazoa; Chordata; Actinopteri; Syngnathiformes; Syngnathidae.